UCGGGAAUUUUGGGCAAUGGGCGAAAGCCUGACCCAGCAACGCCGCGUGAAGGAUGAGGUAUUUCGGUAUGUAAACUUCGUAAGAAUAGGAAGAAUAAAUGACGGUACUAUUUGUAAGGUCCGGCUAACUACGUGCCAGCAGCCGCGGUAAUACGUAGGGACCAAGCGUUGUUCGGAUUUACUGGGCGUAAAGGGCGCGUAGGCGGUGUGUCAAGUCAGUUGUGAAAUCUCCGAGCUUAACUCGGAACGGUCAACUGAUACUGUCACACUAGAGUACAGAAGGGGCAAUCGGAAUUCUUGGUGUAGCGGUGAAAUGCGUAGAUAUCAAGAGGAACACCUGAGGCGAAGGCGGGUUGCUGGGCUGAUACUGACGCUGAGGCGCGAAAGCUAGGGUAGCAAACGGGAUUAGAUACCCUCGUAGUCCCUGAGCGGGCUGGCAAGGCGCAU
RNAcentral lists this ribosomal RNA (447 nucleotides) under uncultured bacterium. RNAcentral's name for it is "bacterial SSU rRNA". It matches the Rfam family "Bacterial small subunit ribosomal RNA", at positions 355 to 825 of the family's 1533-position model. The record is from RNAcentral.